RNAcentral lists this ribosomal RNA (421 nucleotides) under uncultured bacterium. RNAcentral's name for it is "bacterial SSU rRNA". It matches the Rfam family "Bacterial small subunit ribosomal RNA", at positions 355 to 773 of the family's 1533-position model. The record is from RNAcentral.
UAAGGAAUAUUGGUCAAUGGACGCAAGUCUGAACCAGCCAUGCCGCGUGGAGGAUGGAGGUCCUCUGGAUUGUAAACUUCUUUUAUCUGGGACGAAACACUUCUUUUCUAAGAGGCCUGACGGUACCAGAUGAAUAAGCACCGGCUAACUCCGUGCCAGCAGCCGCGGUAAUACGGAGGGUGCAAGCGUUAUCCGGAUUCACUGGGUUUAAAGGGUGCGUAGGUGGGUAUGUAAGUCAGUGGUGAAAUCCCCGAGCUUAACUUGGGAACUGCCAUUGAUACUAUAUAUCUUGAAUACCGUAGAGGUAAGCGGAAUAUGUCAUGUAGCGGUGAAAUGCUUAGAUAUGACAUGGAACACCAAUUGCGAAGGCAGCUUACUAUGCGGUGAUUGACACUGAGGCACGAAAGCGUGGGUAGCAAAC